RNAcentral lists this ribosomal RNA (407 nucleotides) under Verrucomicrobiota bacterium. RNAcentral's name for it is "Verrucomicrobia bacterium partial 16S ribosomal RNA". It matches the Rfam family "Bacterial small subunit ribosomal RNA", at positions 355 to 776 of the family's 1533-position model. Lineage: Bacteria; Pseudomonadati; Verrucomicrobiota. The record is from RNAcentral.
UGGGGAAUAUUGGACAAUGGAGGAAACUCUGAUCCAGCAAUUCUGUGUGUGUGAAGAAGGUUUUAGGACUGUAAAACACUUUUAGUAGGGAAGAAAAAAAUGACGGUACCUACAGAAGAAGCAACGGCUAAAUACGUGCCAGCAGCCGCGGUAAUACGUAUGUUGCGAGCGUUAUCCGGAAUUAUUGGGCUUAAAGGGCAUCUAGGCGGUAAGACAAGUUGAAGGUGAAAACCUGUGGCUCAACCAUAGGCUUGCCUACAAAACUGUUGAACUAGAGUACUGGAAAGGUGGGUGGAACUACACGAGUAGAGGUGAAAUUCGUAGAUAUGUGUAGGAAUGCCGAUGAUGAAGGUAACUCACUGGACAGAAACUGACGCUGAAGUGCGAAAGAUAGGGGAGCAAACAGG